AGCAGCCGCGGUAAUUCCAGCUCCAAUAGCGUAUAUUAAAGUUGUUGCAGUUAAAAAGCUCGUAGUUGAAUUUCGGGGUUAGUAGGUUGGUCGUGCCACCGGUAUGUACUGGCUCUACUGAUCCCUCCUUCUUGUAGAACCGUAAUGCCAUUAACUUGGUGUUGCGGGGAAACAGGACUGUUACUUUGAAAAAAUUAGAGUGUUUAAAGCAGGCUAACGCUUGAAUACAUUAGCAUGGAAUAAUGAAAUAGGACGCUCGAUCCUAUUUUGUUGGUUUCUAGGAUUGACGUAAUGAUUAAUAGGGAUAGUUGGGGGCAUUAGUAUUCAAUUGUCAGAGGUGAAAUUCUUGGAUUUAUUGAAGACUAACUACUGCGAAAGCAUUUGCCAAGGAUGUUUUCAUUAAUCAAGAACGAAAGUUAGGGGAUCGAAGACGAUCAGAUACCGUCGUAGUCUUAACCAUAAACUAUGCCGACUGGGGAUCGGAUGAUGUAAUUUUUAAUGACUCAUUCGGCGCCUUACG
RNAcentral lists this ribosomal RNA (520 nucleotides) under uncultured Glomus. RNAcentral describes it as "SSU rRNA". It matches the Rfam family "Eukaryotic small subunit ribosomal RNA", at positions 569 to 1092 of the family's 1831-position model. Lineage: Eukaryota; Fungi; Glomeromycota; Glomeromycetes; Glomerales; Glomeraceae. The record is from RNAcentral.